Molecule: non-coding RNA, 32 nt
Filed under: Rattus norvegicus (Norway rat)
Lineage: Eukaryota; Metazoa; Chordata; Mammalia; Rodentia; Muridae
Source: RNAcentral
UCCUUGGCCUUAAAGGGCUGGUCUGCCCUGAA